RNAcentral lists this ribosomal RNA (494 nucleotides) under uncultured bacterium. Its description in RNAcentral is "partial 16S ribosomal RNA". It matches the Rfam family "Bacterial small subunit ribosomal RNA", at positions 28 to 507 of the family's 1533-position model. The record is from RNAcentral.
GACGAACGCUGGCGGCGUGCCUAAUACAUGCAAGUCGAACGGUUUAGUUCCAAGAGGCUUGCCUUUUGGAACUAGACAGUGGCGGACGGGUGAGUAACACGUAGGCAACCUACCUGUCAAACCGGGAUAACCUCGGGAAACCGAAGCUAAACCCGGAUAAGCUCCUUUUUCGCAUGAAGGGGGAGUGAAAAGGUGCGACCUGAUGACAGAUGGGCCUGCGGCGCAUUAGCUAGUAGGUAGGGUAACGGCCUACCUAGGCGAUGAUGCGUAGCCGACCUGAGAGGGCGGAGGGGCAAGAGUGGAGGGGGAUACGGACGGGACGACUGAGGGAGGCAGCAGUAGGGAGUGGGCGGAGAUGGGUGUGAGGUUGAACGAGCAUGGGGGCGGGAAUGAGGGAGGCUGUCGGGUUGUAAGGAUCUGUUGAUAGGGAGGAAAGGAAAGGGUGGGGCCGUUGGAAGAAGGUGCCAAACGAGAGAGACGCGUAUACCGACGUA